GAUGAAGAACGUAGCGAAAUGCGAUAAGUAAUGUGAAUUGCAGAAUUCAGUGAAUCAUCGAAUCUUUGAACGCACCUUGCGCCUUUUGGUAUUCCGAAAGGCACACCUGUUUGAGCGUCAUGAAUACCUCAAUCUCCAUCUUUUCUUCGGAUUGACGGGUGACUUGGAUGUUGAGCCCUGCUGGUAUGCUAUAUCAGCUGGCUUUAAACUUAUUAGCCGGCUCUGUACUGGAUCGGUUUGACUCGACGUGAUAAUAUUAUCGUUGAGGAUGCAUGUCUCAUGCAGCCGGAAAGUAUCAAAGCAGCUUCUAGCUUGCCUUUAGUGCACUUUUACAUUUUAGACCUCAGAUCAGGUGGGACUACCCGCUGAACUUAAGCAUAUCAAUAAGCGGAGGA
RNAcentral lists this unclassified non-coding RNA (395 nucleotides) under soil metagenome. RNAcentral describes it as "partial contains 5.8S ribosomal RNA, internal transcribed spacer 2, and large subunit ribosomal RNA". The stretch from base 1 to 120 matches the Rfam family "5.8S ribosomal RNA", at positions 35 to 154 of the family's 154-position model. The record is from RNAcentral.